ACCACGUAACUCGUACAUAUAUAUACACACACGGUCGAUAUAUAAGUGUAUAUAUAUAUAUAUAUAUAUAUAUAUAUGUUUAUGACUUUCCAAAUCAGUGGAGCAAAGCAGCCAGAGAAAGAAAGGUGCGAGCAUCUCGGUUUCUUUAUUUUGAAAGCGUUAGAAAGCUUUGAUUCGCUCAGCUGGCUAACUACGUUGUUGAAAGUUGGAACGAUUUGUGAUAACGUCUUGUGUGCAACCUAAAUGAGAACGAAGACGAAAGGAAAAAAAAUAAAUAAAUAAAUAGAAUUGAAAUAGAUAGGCAAAUAAUGUAAUAAGAAUAUGUGGAUGAAAGAUUAUCGCGAAAAUUCAUUGUCACUUCUCGAUCAGGAUUAUCGAUUUUAUUUGUAAAGAAUGCUCUCUUAUCUAAAACUCAACAAACAAUUCUAAUAAGCAAGAAAUAUGCGAUAAGAUAUAGAUAUUAAAUACAAAAUAUACUCGUACGUAAUACGGAUAAAUUUUAUGAAAGAGAAAAAGAAAAUAUUAUAGACGAACUUUAAAUGAUUGAUGUCGAAUGUAAAUCAUAAAACCAUAUUGUAAGCCAAGGACGUUUGUGAAAAAUUCAAAUUUUUCCCGCGCGAAAUUGUCGUCCGUUUCCGUAUAUUUUCGUACGUUCUUUCGUAAGACGCGCGAAAAUCUUAAAUUUCGGAGAAGAUACAUGGACAACAAUGGAUUUAUUUUACAGUCAAGUCAGAAAAGUAAUUAGCCUCGGCCAUUCAAUGUAUAAUUACAUGGAAAAGCAAUUGUUUUUAUUCGAUAAGGAACGAUGAGUCAUUUCUUAUUUGCAGUCAUUCCUCUCGAGUUCUUACCUCAUCUAUAUUGAUGUAACUACGGCUAUUGUGUUGUAAAAAUAACAGAAAGAAUAUAUAAAAAAGAAUGAUUGGACAUGAAUAUUACAAAAAGAAUGAUUGGACAUCAGUAUUACUCGAACGUGAGAUGUGUAAUAUUUAUCUUUUUUUCUGUUUUUUUUUCCUUUUUUUUUGUUUUUUGAAAGGAAGAGAGAGAGAAAGACAGAGAGAUAGAUAAAAAGAAAAAAAGAAAUCGAAGAAAGAUAACGUGUUAAUCAAAAGAAAACGCGAUGGACAUAAUUUAUAAAUUUAUCGAGAACGAUUACGAAAAUACAUAUUGAUUCACUUGUGUCAAUGAAUACAAUUGAAAGAAGACACAUCAAGAAUGAUGAUCAGCUGAGGAAAAAGUAAUGUUUUUUCUGAAUUGACGUCAUCAGAGUUUGUCUGAAUGAUAGGUUUUACGAAAAUCGCAUUAAUGACUUCGUGGCAUGAACUUUGAUAUUUAUAAGGAUAAAAUGUUUCGAAAAUAAGCGAUUAAUAAGGAUCGACGUUAGAAGUAAAAAUCUAUAAUUUUUUUUAAGUUUUAUUUGGUUAUAGAUCUGAAGGAUUCCUUAGAAAAAUAUUAUUUAGAUGAGUUUUAUAUCACUAAGUUGAAAUGUAAUUUUUAUAAAUAAUAUAUAUACGUACAUGUAUACUCGAAGUUUCAGGUAGAAGUUCAUAAAAUUGCAUAAAAUUGUAUAGCAUUAUCCCCCUUUAUUGAAGUUCGGUUACAGUUCAAUUGCAAAUGUAGUUUCAGACAGAGAGAGAGAGAGAGAGAGAGAGAGAGAGAGAGAGAGAGAGAGAGAGAGAGAGAGAGAGAGAGAGAGACGAAUAAGAAGAAACAUUCCACUGACUUUGAAAAGCAUUUAGUAACACAUCGAAAAAAAAGAACAGAAUUUUCUAUUUGCGCUCUAAUUGCUUCGUAACGACCGUGAAUUCAGAGCCAUUCGAGAGUUUCUGCUAACGAUAACGAUAACGUUUAAAUGUGAUGUCACUCGAAAAGAGUCUCGAAUCAAAUUUAAAUUUAUGGAUAUUGAUGAAUCUCUACAUGGAAAGUAUGCUUGAAUAUCAAUGAAAUAAACGAUAUUGGAAAACUUUUCCUAAGGUUUUUUUUUUUUCUGAUAUGACUAUUUUCACAUCGGAUUCUUGUAUUUUCGUUUGAAAGUUUCAAAAAAGUUGAAGCCAAGUGAUAACUCAUAAUAUAAAUAAAGAAGUAAUUUUUUUCGCUCAUGGUGUAAGACAAAAAAAACAGAAAUAAAAAGGGAACGGAAAAAGUAAAGACAAAAAGAAAAGAAAAUAAAAUAAAAAGGAAAUGAAUGUUAAUUUUUUUAUGCAAAAAAUUACUUCACGUUCAAUUCCAUUGUUAAUAGUAAUAAUAUUCCAUUGCUAAUCAUGACACCUUUAUCAUCUUAUCUUUCUCUUGAAAUAUUUUUCUUUGCCAUCAUAUGUACUCACUAAUCAUAUAAUUCUAUAUUAACUGAAUUUUGAUUACCUAUUGGAAGAAAAAAAAUUUACACAUAUGUAUAUAUUUAUAAUUAUAAUUAUUCUAACCUUCUAUUAUAAAUUAUUAGACUAUAGAUAUUUAUAUGUAAUUACAGAACUAUAUUAACUAUUAAUUCUUAUUUUUAUUAGUGCAAAAAAGAAAAACACAUACACACACACACACACACACACACACAAAAUAAAAUCUCUCAUGAAGGACACGAAGGAAACGCACGAAGGAUCGAUACGAUAAGUCUUAAUAAUUUUUUUCUUGGUCAAUCGUUUAUAUAUCUCCUUCAAUUUCGUUUGGAAAUCCCAGCACGUAUACUUUCCGAACGUGAAACAAAUUUAGGUUAAGGCCUCGGCAGUCUCCGAAAUACAUAUACACAUACAAACGACCAACCAACCGGCUUCUCUCGUUUCUCGAAGCAAUAAAUAAAAUCAUGCGUAAGGUUACAAUCAUUACACGAAGUUAUAGUAUGGUUGAUUUAGGCAGCCAUAUCAUAAAUAACUUAAAAAUAACCUAUGAACGUGAUCCACCUUCGCAUAUUUAAAAGACCGACAAAUUAUCGAAAUAAAAUUAAGAAAAGUUGUCUCACUCCUAAGUACGAUACUUUCAUUCAAUUACAUAAUUUUAAUCGUACGAACAUCCUUUCUAUAAAAUAUUUUAAAUGCAUUAUGCAUAAUGCAUUCUCUUGGAAACACAUAUUGUAUUAUUUAAAAUUAUGAAACUAUGUAACAUGUGAAGGAUAAAUAACAUAAUCGUACAUAUCGAUAAUAAUCGAUUUUACGAUCUUUAAACGUAUAUGAAAGAUUUCCUUGUUUUAAGUUUUUUUUAUCAUCAAAAAAAAAAAAUAAAUAAAUAAAAAAAAAAAUAAAAAAAAAAUAAAAAAAAAACGUAAUAUUGUAUUAUCUAAAAUUACAAAACCAUUUGUAACGUAUUAGAAAAUACUUAAACUAUUUGUACUAUAUAAUUAUAUUGUACAUUGUCAGAAAUAUCGAAUAUGAUAAUAAUCGAUAAUACGAUCGUAUUGGGUCAGCUCGUUUUCCAAGGAAAUAUUUGGCGCGAAACUUGCGCGUCAAAGCGGCGUGUGACACGCGACUAUCGAACGGACCAAUAGCGUUGCAACGCGCCAUGCGAGAUUUAACGUGAAAGCGAUCAUGUGUAAGUCGAGAGUAAAUCGAUUGAUGCCAAAAGGAAUAAAGUCGUUUGAGAAAUAGAAAGAGAAAUACGAACGAAAUCGAUUUGUCGAAACGAUCGGACGAUCUGAUAAGAAAUGUCCGAAACAAAACUAAAAUUAGAACCGUUUUCAUAUAAGAUAUGAUAAGAUAUAUAUAUAUAUAUAUAUAUAUAAAACAUAAAGAAAGAAAAAUAAAAAAGAAAUCACGAUAGAAAACGUGGCAUGUAUUAGAUAUCGAAUGAACGGAACUUAGAAAAGAAAAGAGAAGGGGAGAAGAA
Molecule: long non-coding RNA, 3807 nt
Organism: Vespa crabro (European hornet)
Lineage: Eukaryota; Metazoa; Arthropoda; Insecta; Hymenoptera; Vespidae
Exons: 2
Source: RefSeq, a predicted model, not a curated record